RNAcentral lists this ribosomal RNA (775 nucleotides) under uncultured Neocallimastigales. Its description in RNAcentral is "partial large subunit ribosomal RNA". It matches the Rfam family "Eukaryotic large subunit ribosomal RNA", at positions 24 to 649 of the family's 3401-position model. Lineage: Eukaryota; Fungi; Neocallimastigomycota; Neocallimastigomycetes; Neocallimastigales. The record is from RNAcentral.
UAUGUGAUCGUCUCUCGCAUAUCAAUAAGCGGAGGAAAAGAAACUAACAAGGAUUCCCCUAGUAACGGCGAGUGAAGCGGGAAGAGCUCAAAUUUGAAAUCUUAAAGGGUUUCCCUUUACGAAUUGUAGUUUAAAGAAGUGUUUUCUGUUGAGGUUUUGGUAAAAGUUCUUUGGAAUAGGACAUCAUAGAGGGUGAGAAUCCCGUAUUUGACCUUUACUUUCAACUUUGUGAUACACUUUCAAAGAGUCGGAUUGUUUGGGAAUGCAGUCCAAAAUGGGUGGUAAAUUUCAUCUAAAGCUAAAUAUUGGCGAGAGACCGAUAGCGAACAAGUACCGUGAGGGAAAGAUGAAAAGAACUUUGAAAAGAGAGUUAAACAGUACGUGAAAUUGUCAAAAGGGAAGCGUUUGACACCAGUGUUGUUUUUCUGAAAAUCAAUUAAAGAACUGUUUAUGCUAAGCUUGUUUAGACUUUAUCAGCUAACUGUUUAGUUUUGAGCUUUUCUUUAAUGCACUUUUCAGUUAACAAGUCAACAUCAAUUUCUUUUGCUGUAAAAAAGCUUGAGGAAGGUGGCUUGAGAUUCGUCUUAAGUGUUUAUAGCCUCUUGCCUAUGCAGUCGGAGAGAUUGAGGUCUGCAGCGUAGAUCCUUCGGGGCUAAAUGCAUUUGUGCUAAGUUAUAGCAUUUUAUAGACAACUUGUUGACUAUGAUUUGUCUUGUAGCUUACUCGCUUAUGUUAUUUUACCUACGCUUAGGAUGUUGAGUAGCGACAUACGCAC